CACAGGUGGCAGCGGGGGCGCGGGCGGGGGGUGUAGGCGGCGUCGGCGGCGCCCGGGGCCUGAGGAGGCGUCGUCGCCUCGGGCUUCGCCGGGGGAGUGCCUCGGGGCCGGUGCGCCGCCGGCCGCUCCCUCACCGCUGCUGACGGGAACCGGUGGGACCUGCUGCCUGGAAAGUGUAAGGUGCUCAGAAGUUCUCCAGCGCGCGCCUGAGGUAAGACGAGAGCCGUCUUUAUAAUAAGGACCAACGUUGUGUCUUUUGUCCCUUCAGUUUUUCUCUUGUGCUCUCCUGGGCCAAGACCUGGCUGUUAAGACAGUGUUCUCCCGAGUGGGUAUGAUGAAUUCAGGCCAGCCAUGGAUUUAUAAUUCUGGAGCCUUCUAAACUGCGUCCUUAAAAAGGG
RNAcentral lists this long non-coding RNA (398 nucleotides) under Camelus dromedarius (Arabian camel). RNAcentral describes it as "lncRNA (ENSCDRG00005022114.1)". Lineage: Eukaryota; Metazoa; Chordata; Mammalia; Artiodactyla; Camelidae. The record is from RNAcentral.